Vulpes vulpes (red fox) is the source of this 106-nucleotide small nuclear RNA. Lineage: Eukaryota; Metazoa; Chordata; Mammalia; Carnivora; Canidae. The record is from Ensembl.
GUGCUCACUUCAGCAGCACGUAUGGUAAAAUUGAACAAUAUAGAGAAGAUUAGCAUGGCCCCUACACAACCAUGACACACAAAUUCGUGAAGCGUUCCAUAUUUAU